This 613-nucleotide ribosomal RNA is filed under the name Barnettozyma californica. RNAcentral's name for it is "eukaryotic LSU rRNA". It matches the Rfam family "Eukaryotic large subunit ribosomal RNA", at positions 1 to 606 of the family's 3401-position model. Lineage: Eukaryota; Fungi; Ascomycota; Saccharomycetes; Phaffomycetales; Phaffomycetaceae. The record is from RNAcentral.
CCAAAUUUGACCUCAAAUCAGGUAGGACUACCCGCUGAACUUAAGCAUAUCAAUAAGCGGAGGAAAAGAAACCAACAGGGAUUGCCUCAGUAACGGCGAGUGAAGCGGCAAAAGCUCAAAUUUGAAAUCUGGCUGCUUUUUUAGUAGUCCGAGUUGUAAUUUGAAGAAUAGAUCCUUGGAGAGGCGCCUUGUCUAUGUUCCUUGGAACAGGACGUCGCAGAGGGUGAGAAUCCCGUUUGGCGAGGUGUGCUGAUCCGUGUAAGGGCUGUUCGACGAGUCGAGUUGUUUGGGAAUGCAGCUCUAAGUGGGUGGUAAAUUCCAUCUAAAGCUAAAUAUUGGCGAGAGACCGAUAGCGAACAAGUACAGUGAUGGAAAGAUGAAAAGAACUUUGAAAAGAGAGUGAAAAAGUACGUGAAAUUGUUGAAAGGGAAGGUUAUUAGAUCAGACUUGGAUUUUUUAUUAUAUUUGUCUCCUUGUGGGGCAUUCACUAAUUUUUAAUCCAGGCCAGCAUCGAUUGGGAUGGCGGGAAAAAGAGGGAGGAACGUGGCUGUGCAUUUAUGUGCAGUGUUUAUAGCCUUUCUUAAUACCGCCUGUCUCGAUCGAGGACUGCGGC